AGAGUUGAUCCUGCUCAGGGUAACGCUGGCGGCGUGCCUAACACAUGCAAGUCGAACGGUUCUAAGCGCGAGCUUAGGAUAGUGCGAACGGGUGAGUAAAAGGUAGGAAUCUACCCCUUGGACGGAGAUAGCUACUGGAAACGGUAGGUAAACUUCGAUAAGCCCGAGAGGGGAAAGUGGUGAGACAGCCGAGGGAUGAGCCUACUCUCCAUCAGGUAGUUGGUGAGAUAAAAGCUUACCAAGCCGAUGACGGAUAACCGGUGUGAGAGCAUGAACGGUCACAAGGGCACUGAGAGACGGGCCCUACUCCUACGGGAGGCAGCAGUGGGGAAUCUUGGACAAUGGGCGAAAGCCUGAUCCAGCGACGCCGCGUGGAGGAAGAAGUCCUUCGGGAUGUAAACUUCUGAACUAGCCGAAUAAAAGGCCUGUGGACACACAGGAGAAGAAAGUAGGCUAGGAAAAGUCCCGGCUAACUACGUGCCAGCAGCCGCGGUAAGACGUAGGGGGCAAGCGUUACCCGGAAUUACUGGGCGUAAAGGGGGCGUAGGCGGUAAAAGAAGUCAUCUGUGAAAACCUAUUGCUCAACGAUAGGCUAGCGGAUGAAACUGAAUUACUUGAGGGCACCAGAGGUAGACGGAAUUACCCGAGUAGGGGUGAAAUCCGCAGAUACGGGUAGGAACGCCGGUGGAGAAGUCGGUCUACUGGGGUGCACCAGACGCUGAGGCCCGAAAGCUAGGGGAGCAAACCGGAUUAGAUACCCGGGUAGUCCUAGCCGUACCUCCCCUCCUCUCUAGGUGUAGGGAGUGAUAAACUCUCKGUGCWGAAGCGGAAC
Molecule: ribosomal RNA, 832 nt
Filed under: uncultured Defluviitoga sp.
Lineage: Bacteria; Thermotogati; Thermotogota; Thermotogae; Petrotogales; Petrotogaceae
Description: bacterial SSU rRNA
Rfam family: Bacterial small subunit ribosomal RNA
Source: RNAcentral